AUACGGAGGGGGCAAGCGUUGCUCGGAAUUACUGGGCGUAAAGGGUCCGUAGGUGGCUUCGUAAGUUAGAUGUGAAAUCUUAGGGCUUAACCCUGAAACGGCAUCUAAAACUGCGUAGCUUGAGUACAGGAGAGGUUGGCGGAAUUCCCGGUGUAGCGGUGAAAUGCGUAGAUAUCGGGAGGGACACCAGCGGCGAAGGCGGCCAACUGGCCUGUCACUGACACUCAGGGACGAAAGCGUGGGGAGCAAACCGGAUUAGAAACCCGAGUAGUCC
Molecule: ribosomal RNA, 274 nt
Filed under: uncultured bacterium
Lineage: Bacteria
Description: partial 16S ribosomal RNA
Rfam family: Bacterial small subunit ribosomal RNA
Source: RNAcentral